GCUGAGAUUGAGCCACUGCACUCCAGCCUGGGGGACAGAGGGAGACUCCAUCUCAAAACAAAAACAAAACAAAACAAAAGUACCUAGGGAAUCAAUCAGUUAUUAAUCGAGUCCUAGAAUUUUGGGUCUGAUUGCUAUAGGAGCUGUUGUUUGGCUUCUGGGCUGAUUCCUACAGACUGUGGGUCAGAGUUCUGUCUUUCUACAUGGUCUUGACAUUGUCUGUCUGUAUGUUGACUCUCUCAUUGUGUACAGGCUGUCUUCUCCCAGUAUGCUUAAAAUUAAUAAGAGUUUGAACAGACAAGUAUGCGGAGGGAACAUCAUCAUUUGUACAAAUAGCCUCAGAUGGAAAUUCUGCAUGCCUUUGAAAGAAAGUUUGAGAGGUAGACCUCAACAGCUUCGUCGGCCCAGCUGAAGUCUCUCUCCCUGAAGGCACAUGCACCUUUCUCAGGCAUUGCUGGGAAUGCAGGAUUGUGUGCUGGAGGCCAACAUUGGGUAUCCUGAGUGGAAACCAUGAACUGGGGCAAAUCCUCUUGGUACACACACACCUAGCUUCGUUUCCCUUCCUUUUCUGCCCUAUCCCAGGGAGCCCUCUUUGCACCAGCCCACCCACUGACCAAACUUCAGGGUCUUGUCUUCAUACUUACUGCUUUUUUCUAAGGGAAAAGUUAUGGAGAAGGCAGUCAAGGUUCAUUUAUUUUUCACCAGGAGACAAUGCCCCCAAACAAGAACUGAGUCCCUAGUUAUGGAAUGUCAGACACCUUGCAGCAGGUGGUGGUUCUGAAACACCCGGAUCCAGAUGGCAGCCAACUCCACCCACAUGUCAGGCGGGUGACUGCAUUUCCAGACAUAUUCCUUGUUUAGAUGAGGAGAUUCUGCCCCCACUAACAUUCCUUCAAGUAGCAAAAUGAUGCUAGAUCUUUCCAGAGGUCACAGACUGAAGGCUUGGGGGCUACAGUCUGGAAUGUGUUUUGCUUGGCACACAUGCAUUUUAAGUUGUUUAAUGAACUAUCAAGAUGUAAAGAUCAGGAGCUGACCUUUCACGUUAAAAAGAAAAUCUAUAUUUUCCAACUAGUCUUGGAAAAUGGGAUGCUCUGGCAGCACUUGGACAUCUUCCCACCUGCAGAUGCUCAGCAGAAUGGCAGCUGCCCUGCGGAGAGGAAGCACCUGUUCCCUUCCUUACCACUCUCCUCGUCUGGCCUGCAGUUUCCUCCUGUGUGUCACAGUUAUGGACUGAUUGCUUGUGUCCUGCCAAAUUCAUAUGUAGAAAUCCUAACCCCCAAGGUGAUCAUAUUAGGAGAUGAGGCCUUUGGGAGGUUAUGAGGUCACAAGGGUGGGGCCCUCAUGACUGGGAUUAGCACCCUUAUGAAAGAGACCCCAGAGAGCUCUCUCAUUCUCUUUCCACCAUGCAAGAAAAUGAGACGUUGAAGUCUUCAACCUGGAAGAGGGUCCCUGCCAGAACCUGGCCAUGCUGGGACCUGAUCUUGAACUUUGAGAACUGUGAGAAGUAAAUUUCAGUUGUUUACAAGUCAUCCCAUCAAUGGUAUUCCACUAUGGCAGUCCAAACUGACUAGGCCACUCACCUUCUUGACCCAGUGGGCAUUUGAUCCAGAAUAACUCAUUACUGUCUGAGGAAAGCCCCACCAUCUCUUUUCCCAGAAGUUUUUGUUUCUGGUGGCUUCAUGGGGGGAUUCCAGGCACAGUAGGGCCAAGCGAUGGGUAUAGAGCGACCCUACACCUUUGACUUGGCCUCCUGGGGACUUAGAUGGAUAGGUGUGUUUCCUAGGAGCCGUCUUCCCUGUCCUCACCCCUUUUCCCAUGAGAAAUGCCUCCUCUUGCCUCAGAAACAAAGGAAGGGGUCAGUUUCUGCCAAUGUCUGCUCAGCCCAGAGCAAAUGUCUGAGAGAUUCAGUGUGAAUGUGCUGGUUGCCUGCUGCAGAUCAGGCUUGGUAGGUGGUGGUAGGUGGUUAAGGUUGAGUUUCAGCAUCAAGUAUGAGUUAUUACUGCUCAGGGUCUCAGUUUUCUCAUCUGUAAAAUGGGAAGAUUCCUAGCUCUCAAAUUUAUAAGGCUCCACUGGCCAUGUGUAAAAUGUGGCAAUUAGGGAAUACUGUUGGCUGCUAACUAUAUUCACCAGGACAGGCUGGUUAUGCUCUGGUAAAAAAUAAACCCAGACUCAGUGUCUGCACCCAGCACACAUUUAUCUCUUGCGCAUGCUAUACGGCCAUCUUGACUCAGCAAGGUUCUAUUCUCUGUCACUUUACUUAGGAGUGUUGGAUGGAAGAAUCCCCCACAGUAGUGCUGUCAGUCUCUAUGGCAGGGGAAAGGGGACAUGGUGUAUCCAGCCUUGGGCUUGAAGGUCUAUUCCCAGAAGAGACAUCAUUACCGCAACUCACAUUUCAUCGGCCAAAGUGAGUCACAAGCCAAGUUUAACUUCAAGGAGUGUGGCCCCAAGCCUCUGAUUCUAAGUGCCACUGUCUUAAGGCAUUUGAGCUCCUGUAACAAAAUACUGUGAGCUGGGUGACUUAUAAACAAGAGAAAUUAUUUCUCCCAGUUCUGGAGGCUGGAAAGUCUAAGACCAAGGUACUGGUAAAUUUGGUGUCUAAUGAGAACCUAUUUCAUGGUUUAUAGAUGGUGCCUUCUUGCUGUAUCGUUACGUGGUGGAAGGGGCAGACAGACUCUCUGAGGCCUCUUUUAUAAGGGCACUGAUCCCAUUAAUGACAGCUCUGCCUUUAUGACUUAAUCACCUUCCAGGGGCCCCACCUCCUAAUGCCCUCACUGGGGGCUAGGUUUCUCCAUAUGAAGUCUGGGGGGACACAAAUGUUCAGACCAUGGCAGCACUCUCUUCCCUCACAGCAUGGCUGGCUCUCCAACUACAAUACCAUGCCCCAUGGCUCACUUCCAGGGAGACUGUCUGGAGAGGUUUGUCCUAAGAGAUAGAAGAAUGCAUCCCGCCUCAAGUUUUAGUUCCACAGGUUCACCCAACAGGGAGGUAAUAGUUACACAUUCUUAAUGAAAAGACCCAAAAGCCCAAAACAUCCUGUGCUGCAGCAUAUAAAGCAUCUUCUUCAGACCUGGUCCAAGACUACUCUGGGAUUUUUGAGUCAGAAGAGAGCCAGAGCCUAUUCAGCAUACUGUUUGACUCUGGUCCCAGCAGCCACCGCCAUGUUAACAGGAUGAGCAGGGCUUCCUUCAACUCAGGGUUCCCAUGAAAUUAAAAAGAAUUCUCACCUUGACUUGGGAUUGGGAUUGUUGAACACUACCGAUACUUCUUCCAAGGUCUCACAAGAGUUUGCCUCCUCUCAUCGCAAUGUGAAGACCUCUGUGGGGGAACAAUUCAUGGGUUCUUGGGGUCUUAUAGGGGAUGACAGAGAAGUGUCACCCCCACCCAACAGCCUGACUCAGUCUACUCCUCAGGAGGAACAGAAAGUGGUCUCUCUAGUGCCAUGAAACCCCCAAAAGUGUCAACCAGUAUUAAAGGCCUGCCUGAUAUACAACCCUCGAAUGCAACACAGUGUCCUUCUGAGGCCACUCUAAAGAAGGCCAGGAAAGGUUUGCUAAGAAGGCAGUGCUGUUAAAAACAGAAAAAAAAGACCCUUACCCCAUUGCUCUGUGCCUGGUGGCUACAGGGACAUUAUUUCACAAAAAAAGAAAGGGAAAAAUAAUUUUCAAAAAUGAUUUAAGAAAUGCUGUCAAAGAUAGCAAAGAACAAAGAACAGAGCCCUCAAAGAACAGGGCCCAGGACAGGAUAAGCACUCAAUAACGUACAACACUGUAGUGCUGUUGAGUGCUAGCUGUUGUUGAAUGCUAGCUGUUGUUGAGUGCUAGCUGUUGUCGAGUGCUUGUUGCUGAGUGCUAGCUGUUGUUGAGUGCUUGUUGUUGAGUGCUAGCUGUUGUUGAGUGCUUGUUGUUGAGUGCGAGCUGUUGUUGAGUGCUUGUUGUUGCGUGCUACCUGUUGUUGAGUGCUUGUCCUGCCUGGGCCCUGUUCUUAGCCUUUGAGGUACAUUUCUCCAUUCAACUUCCACAAUAGCCCUGUUAGGCAGCUAGUAUUAUUUCUGUUUUACAGAUAAAGUUUGGUUUUAGCUCAGAGUGGUUCUGAAUCUUAUAAAAAGAAAAAAACAUCCCCAGGAACUGAAUCAGCUCCAAAAUAGCUCCAUCUUAGGCUAAAUAUGGGAUGUGACAAAGCCACCAUCAAGCUAGGCCCCCCUGUCCUGACAGCUUCCCACCCCUUCCCUGCCCCUCUCACCCUGCUUUCCAGGGAGGGGUGGGCAUCCUCUCAGUACCAUAAUCUGUGCCAGGCUCUCAUAUGAUGACUUGACAGGAUUCAGCAGAGAUGCAGGCCUCUGCUCUGCUCAUCUCUUUGCAUAUAGUAAUUUAAUGAAGCCAGAAACUGCAUAGAGCUAGUAAUGGCACAACCAAGCAGCUUAAACUUUGAGCCACUAAACCAUGCUGCCUCCUAUUGUAAUACGAUUAUAUUAUAACACAAGUUCGAGAGACCACCCACUGCUUUCUUUAUUGGAUCCUUCCAAUAAAGUGCCGUGCUAGUAGCACAAUUCCCCACGGACAUAGAAAAUAACUAUUCUAAACUAAAUCCGAGGACACACCCAGCCACAAAGUGGGAGGUGUAUUGUACAAAUGCAACCAGGGCCCCUGGAUCUGGCAGCUAGACCCACAGCAACAGCCUGUGUUUUCUCAGGGCUAAGAAUGCACGGCUCCGACACGGAGAGCCUCUGAGCUGCCACAAACUCUUCAACACCUCCCUAUUAAAAGCCAUUCUGACCACCCUUGGUGUUGAGUUUUCCUCGGAGAGCAGUUGAGAGCUAAGGUAGGGUGGAGAGCCAAGAGGAGGCAGGGAGAGCCAGAGAUGGCAGCUGGCAACAGGAUACAGAAAGAAAAGGGACUUCAAAGACAGAUCUAAGAAUUCACAGGGCUUUUUGGUGCAGAGUCUGGAGAUGAUGCACAGAAAUGACACCUUGAAAGGGGAAGGAAAAGAAGGAAGAACAGGUUAUCAGCCCUGGAGCUCAGAAGGCUAAAGGAGAGAAUGUAUUUGACAUCUAUUGUAUCUUUGCAUCCUUCAAUGACACAUUUGUCCAUGUCACUGAUCUUUCUGGCAAAAAAAAAAAAAUGUGCUGUGUGACUGGUGGGAUGAAGGUAAAGGCUGGUCAGAUGAAUCCUCUCCACAUGCUGCCACACUGGCCACCCAGGAUGUGGUCUAUGUGGUCUAGAGGUGCAAGGAGCCAGGCAUCACUGCCCUACAUCAAACUCCAGGCCACAGAAGGAAAUAGGACUGAGAUCCCUGGACCUGGAGCCCGCUUAGGUAUGAAGAUCAGGUGCAUUGAGGAUGUCAUUCCCAUCCCCUCCAACAGCACCUGCAGGAACGGGGGUUGCCAGGUCACCAUCUGUGAACAAGACUCCUCAAAAUGUUUUCUGUUAAUAAAUUGCCUUCAUGUAAACUAAAAAAAAAAAAAAAAAAAAAAAAGAAAGAGAGAGAGAGAGAUAAUUGACACAAAAUGACGCCCAGUCUUGGUCUGCAUGGUGAAGGGCCCAGGACUGAUGGGCGGGGGCUCAUUUGCAUAAUGCAACACCAGGGAGAGUCCUGUCACUUGCCCUCCUGAGUCCUGAAGAAAACCCUUCACUCCAAUUCCCUGUGCAUUGCUUCUAAAGACAGAAAAUGUGUACAGUUCUAGAAUUACGGUCACAUAAAAUGCUAGAAGAAUAAUGUGUUUUAUUUAAGUGCUUGGAGGUACCCCCUGAAGUUUGUGUUACCUGGAAGUUGGCCUUAGGGAAACACCUCAUGGACCUUCUCUCAAGGAUAAAUGAGAUGCAGGGACAAGGAAGGGAGAAAGGUUAUUUUAACAUUUUAUUCACAGUCCCUGGGAUUCUUUGGAGAGCACCUUAGGAAUGUUCUUAACCUGAGUCCUCUUACUAAGUGUAAUCACACAGUCCGCCAGGCUGGUAUUAUUAACCCUACUUUGCAGCUGAGGCAACUACAAGAGAUGACCUUUCCGGGCUGGUGGAGUGGAAUUCGUCACGUACUGCAUGCAGUCAUGUACUGCAGUGACCAGUCUGGGUCCAAUUUCUUUGACGGUAUCAUUGACGGGGUACACAGUGGGGUAACAGGGGAGAGGCAAAGUGCAAGAGGAGAAAUGGGGUGAAAAUCCAGUACAGGGAAGCUUGAGCUGGGGCAGGAUCGGGGAGCCAGGGUCUGGGGCAUGGUUGGGACUGAAAUCCUUGUUAACACUGGCUUUAGCAAAAGAAAUGGGCACCACCAUCCCAGAGGACUUCCAGAAGAUUCCUCCCUCCCCCACAGCUGGGCACAGAGCCUUACCUCCCCUGCACCCUGGCCCUGUCUCCCUAUUUGGCAAGACUCCCAUGUCAUCUGCUCCUCUCGACUUCAGCUCCCUCUUGGCACUGGAAAUACUAAGGGAACCCAGCAGUCACACAGGAUUCUAGGAAUUUCUCCUUUCCAACUUCCUGAACUGGUUUUCAAAUUCACCUCAGAGGUCCCUUUAAAAAUCAUGUUCCAAGUCUGGGCACAGGGGCUCAUGCCUGUAAUCCCAGCACUUUGGGAGGUCGAGGCAGGAGGACCUCCUGAGCCCAGGAAUUCAAGACCAGCCUGGGCAACAGAGUGAGAUCGUGUCUCUACAAAAUAUAAAAGAAUUAUGCUGGUGUGGUGGUGUGUGCCACUGCACUCCAGCCUGGAUGACAAUAAAAGACCUACUUCAAAAAACCCACACUCCACACAAGCAGGGGGUCUGCCAUCCACAGAUUCCAGACAGAGGGUUCCAUCAGCCAGGCAGGAACGGCAUGGGCAAUGUCAGUAGCAUGCACAUCAGGUUAGCUUCUCUGAGGUCACAAAGUCACCUGGAAGUGGGGAAUCCAUGAGGGCCAGGCCCUCCACAGGAGGAGACCUUCCCUCCUCAGGCACCAGCCUCCCUGACAUGGUUCCCUCCUCUCAGCCCUGGCCCACAUGCUCCUGCCGAGGUAACAUGUCCCCUGACUCCAUGUUAGAAAACCAUAAAGCCCCCAAGAGACAUUUCUAACAAUCAUCUAAAUAUUGACUUUCACUUUAUAAAACUUAUAAAACACAAAGAACACUUGGAACAGCCCAGUUUUAAGGCCGCCAACUUUUGUUUUCCAAAGAACAAUUGGUAGACUUGGCCCCAAGGGGAGCAGAGCCCCGGCUCUCAGACAAGGAGCCUCACCAGCAAUUCUGUAUCUUCGAGGCGGCAGAGGUUUUGGUGAGCUUGUGUCCUUUCUAAACAUGGUGGUGAAGAUGGGAUCCUCUUCAUUUUGCAAAUGAGAAAAUGGAAGAGCCCGAGGGACAAAGGGCCUCUCUCAAGGUGCCAUGGUGAGAAGGAGGCAGAAGGAAGAGGACCUCACCCUUGCCUUGAUUCCACUGACUGCUGUUUAUUGCGCCACGAGUGUCUUCAGGGAGCAGUCGUUCCCACACUGGAAUGUUGACAUGAGGAGCAAAUGUGAUGCCAUCAUGUAAUUCCAGUGGGGGCUGGAAUUUUCAGCCUGCAAGGCUGAAAUGACCCUCUCUGUUUCAAUGCUAAGGAAGCAGCAGCUUUCCUCCCACUCUUGAAAUGUGCAGCAUCUUCAAGUUCCUGCCUCGCGUUUCUAGGCCUGUAGUGGGCUGUCCAUGGUCAGGGAGUGGAUCUUCCAGUUAGGUAUUUUUCUGAAGCAACUGUCAUUCUUUGCUUUUUGGAGCAAGACAGGUUUUUAAAAUCCUCUGGGAGAGCAGGAGGAGGGUUGGCCAGAAAAGGCAUGAAGAGUGGGAGAAGGGUGCAUUGUGGACCCGUCUGAGCGUAGGAGUGUCCCGAUAACCAGGAGACUAAGGAGCAGCAUCCGCUGUCCCCCUCAGUGUUCUAAAGGUAUGAAACCUAACAAGGUAAUUGCAUGGGAAUAACACACUGUGAAUGUUAUGUGGGAUUUGAAAUUGUCAUCUCAAGAGUGACCGGGGGGAGAGAGGAAGGGUGAACUCUUUCAGUCUAAAAGCUACGUUUUAAAAGGCAGGGUUAGACUCGGUUUGUUUUCUGCAAUGCAUU
Molecule: non-coding RNA, 8044 nt
Organism: Chlorocebus sabaeus (green monkey)
Lineage: Eukaryota; Metazoa; Chordata; Mammalia; Primates; Cercopithecidae
Source: RefSeq, a predicted model, not a curated record